CUCGCACCUCUCCACCAUCACCUGCGCCGCUCUCUCUCCGCCGUCGCCCCUCCGCCCCACGAGCCGCCCCCUCCCCAUCCCGCCCCACCGCCACAGCCGGCCUCCAACAAGCACAAGCUCUUCGUCGCCGGGCUCUCGUGGUCCGCGGACGAGCGGUCGCUGACGGACGCCUUCUCCUCCUUCGGCACCGUCACCGAAGAUGGUGCGCGUGGUAGGUGCUCGACGAAACGGCUCCCAGGUCCUGGACGACCUGGUUCCGCCCAGCCUCGCGAACUGUUCGACAGAAUGCCUGUUAGGGACGUGGUUGCCUUCUCGGCGGCAAUCUACCGGAAUGCGAGGGCCGGGUCGUUCGAUGAGGCCGUUGGGCUGUUUGUCGGCAUGGUGAGGGCAGGAGUGUGCCCAAACUCGUUCACCUUGGUCAGUGCAUCGCUCGCUGCGGCCGGGCUGGGUGACGCCGUGCUCACCGAGUGCAUCCAUGGGUGGGUUGUCAAGCUUCGGUUGGACUCCAAUCCUUUUGUCCGAACCGCGUUGCUUGAUUCAUAUGCGAAAUGCGGCUGCCCCAUCAAGGCACGUGCUUUGUUUGGUGAAAUGAGGGAUCCAGGUAUAGUUACCUGGAAUGCGAUGAUCUCCGGGUUAGUGCACAAUGAUUUGUUCGAGGAGGCAGUGCUGGUGUUUAAAAGGUUGCUUCAUUCGUUGGGGCCAAUUGAUAAUGUUGUGACUAUGAUAAGCACUGCUCAAGCUUGUGCUGGUUGUGGUGAUGUUGGACUGUGUGGGACUGCACAUGCUUACGCAGUUAAGAUGGGGCUUGAUUUGGAUGUAUCAGUGACAAACUCGAUACUGGGCAUGUACUUGAGUUUUGUUAGCCUUGAGAUUGGAAGAGAGAUUUUCAGGAAGGUUCCUGUCAACAAUGUUGUUAGUUGGACGAUGAUGAUGGGUUUCCUUCUUGAAAAAGGGCAUGCUGGUGAGGUUAUAUGUAUGUUUGUCAAGAUGAGGUCAAAUGGUAUAGUCCCUGACAUGGUAUCAAUGGUUGGUUUGGUGCAAGCUUGUGCACUUAUGGGUGAUGGAAGCAGAGGAAAGUUGGUUCAUAACCAGAUUGUGAUCCGUGGGUUUAGUAGAGAGCUUCCUGUAGUGAAUUCAUUAAUCACAAUGUAUUCCAAAUGUAAGGAUUUAAGCUCUGCAAGGAAGUUGUUUGAUGGAAGAAGGGAUAAGAGCUUGGUCUCAUGGACUGCAAUGGUGGCGGCGUGUGUAGAAAAUGGAGAUGUGCUAGAAGGAUUGGAUCUCUUUGCUAAGAUGAGGCAUGGAGGCUUGUUUGCGAUUGAUUAUGUAACGUUAGUCACCUUAUUGCUCGCCUGUUAUGUGAUUGCUAAGUUUGAUCUGUGUGUUCAGCUUCAUGGGUAUAGCUACAAGUCAGGUUUGUCUUUGUACAGACCUGUUCUUAACACCCUUAUGGCAGUUUAUGGUAAGUGUGGAUAUGUGGCUCUAGCCCAAAAAUUGUUUGAUGAGAUGAUUUGUCGAGACACUGUCUCGUGGAAUACUAUGAUAUUAUCCUUUGGUAUAAAUGGCCAAGGAGAGGAAGCAAUAACACUUUUUAAUGAGAUGGAGAAAUCUAGCGAGGGCCGAGACAGUGUAACAUACUUGAACACAUUGCUAGCAUGCAGCCAUUCUGGCCUGGUGGAUGAUGGGUUGAUCAUCUUUAGAAGAAUGAUAAACGAUAAGGGCAUAAAUCCAUGUCAGGAGCACAUUGGAUGCAUAGUGGAUAUGUUAGCAAGAGCUGGCCGCUUGGACGAAGCAGCAGGAGUGGCUAGCUUGACUGACAAUAAAUUGGGACUAAAUGCUUGGAAAGCCCUUAUGGGAGGGGGUCAUUUGCACAGUGACAUGAAGUUCACUAAUGUUGCUGCGGAGAAGGUGCUUACAGUGGAAUCAUUUGAUUAUGGACACGUGUUGUUACUUUCUAACACUUAUGCAUCACUUGGGAAAUUCAGUGCUGCUGAAUCUGUCAGAUCCUGUUAUACAAAACAGAUCGCAAAGAAAACUCUGGGGCUUAGUUCAAUUUAG
This 2055-nucleotide ribosomal RNA is filed under the name Triticum aestivum (bread wheat). Its description in RNAcentral is "partial small subunit ribosomal RNA". The record is from RNAcentral. Lineage: Eukaryota; Viridiplantae; Streptophyta; Magnoliopsida; Poales; Poaceae.